AAUGCCUGGAACGGUUUGUGGAUUAAAGCCCCGGCGGCAUAGGAUGGGCCUGCGGCGUAUCAGGUUGUAGGGGGUGUAACGUACCCUCUAGCCAUCAACGCGUACGGGUGUUGGGAGACAUAGCCCGGAGAUGGAUUCUGAGACACGAAUCCAGACCCUACGGGGUGCAGCAGGCGCGAAAACUUGGCAAUGCGAGAAAUCGUGACCAGGGAACUCCAAGUGGCUGGGGUAAGACCCAGUCUUUUCUUGACUCUUCAAAGGUCUUGGAAUAAGAGGUGGGUAAGGACGGUGCCAGCCGCCGCGGUAAUACCGGCGCCUCAAGUGGUAGUCGAUUUUAUUGGGCCUAAAACGUCCGUAGCCUGUUUGGUACAUUCGUGGGUAAAUCAACCAGCUCAACUGGUUGAAUUCUGCGAGCACGGCCAGACUUGGGACCGGGAGAGGUGUGGGGUACGCUCAGGGUAGGGGUAAAAUCCUGUCAUCCUGAGCGGACCACCUGUUGCGAAGGCGCCACACUAGAACGGAUCCGACGGUCAGGGACGAAGCCUAGGGGCACGAACCGGAUUAGAUACCCGGGUAGUCCUAGGUGUAAACGCUGUGGACUUGGUGUUGGGGAUUCUCCGAGGAUCUUCAGUGCCGAAGCGAAGGUGAUAAGUCCACUGCCUGGGGAGUACGGUCGCAAGGCUGAAACUUAAAGGAAUUGGCGGGGGAGCACCGCAACCUGAGGAUUGUGCGGUUUAAUUGGACUCAACGCCGGAA
This 756-nucleotide ribosomal RNA is filed under the name uncultured Candidatus Poseidoniales archaeon. RNAcentral's name for it is "bacterial SSU rRNA". It matches the Rfam family "Archaeal small subunit ribosomal RNA", at positions 165 to 923 of the family's 1478-position model. Lineage: Archaea; Methanobacteriati; Thermoplasmatota; Candidatus Poseidoniia; Candidatus Poseidoniales. The record is from RNAcentral.